AGCGAACGCUGGCGGCAGGCUUAACACAUGCAAGUCGAGCGGGCACUUCGGUGUCAGCGGCAGACGGGUGAGUAACACGUGGGAACGUACCCUUUGGUUCGGAAUAACGCUGGGAAACUAGCGCUAAUACCGGAUACGCCCUUUUGGGGAAAGGCUUGCUGCCGAAGGAUCGGCCCGCGUCUGAUUAGCUAGUUGGUGGGGUAAUGGCCUACCAAGGCGACGAUCAGUAGCUGGUCUGAGAGGAUGAUCAGCCACACUGGGACUGAGACACGGCCCAGACUCCUACGGGAGGCAGCAGUGGGGAAUAUUGGACAAUGGGCGCAAGCCUGAUCCAGCCAUGCCGCGUGAGUGAUGAAGGCCUUAGGGUUGUAAAGCUCUUUUGUCCGGGACGACAAUGACGGUACCGGAAGAAUAAGCCCCGGCUAACUUCGUG
RNAcentral lists this ribosomal RNA (433 nucleotides) under uncultured bacterium. RNAcentral describes it as "partial 16S ribosomal RNA". It matches the Rfam family "Bacterial small subunit ribosomal RNA", at positions 29 to 507 of the family's 1533-position model. The record is from RNAcentral.